This 2930-nucleotide ribosomal RNA is filed under the name Escherichia coli. Its description in RNAcentral is "bacterial LSU rRNA". It matches the Rfam family "Bacterial large subunit ribosomal RNA". The record is from RNAcentral. Lineage: Bacteria; Pseudomonadati; Pseudomonadota; Gammaproteobacteria; Enterobacterales; Enterobacteriaceae.
GGGUUGUGAGGUUAAGCGACUAAGCGUACACGGUGGAUGCCCUGGCAGUCAGAGGCGAUGAAGGACGUGCUAAUCUGCGAUAAGCGUCGGUAAGGUGAUAUGAACCGUUAUAACCGGCGAUUUCCGAAUGGGGAAACCCAGUGUGUUUCGACACACUAUCAUUAACUGAAUCCAUAGGUUAAUGAGGCGAACCGGGGGAACUGAAACAUCUAAGUACCCCGAGGAAAAGAAAUCAACCGAGAUUCCCCCAGUAGCGGCGAGCGAACGGGGAGCAGCCCAGAGCCUGAAUCAGUGUGUGUGUUAGUGGAAGCGUCUGGAAAGGCGCGCGAUACAGGGUGACAGCCCCGUACACAAAAAUGCACAUGCUGUGAGCUCGAUGAGUAGGGCGGGACACGUGGUAUCCUGUCUGAAUAUGGGGGGACCAUCCUCCAAGGCUAAAUACUCCUGACUGACCGAUAGUGAACCAGUACCGUGAGGGAAAGGCGAAAAGAACCCCGGCGAGGGGAGUGAAAAAGAACCUGAAACCGUGUACGUACAAGCAGUGGGAGCACGCUUAGGCGUGUGACUGCGUACCUUUUGUAUAAUGGGUCAGCGACUUAUAUUCUGUAGCAAGGUUAACCGAAUAGGGGAGCCGAAGGGAAACCGAGUCUUAACUGGGCGUUAAGUUGCAGGGUAUAGACCCGAAACCCGGUGAUCUAGCCAUGGGCAGGUUGAAGGUUGGGUAACACUAACUGGAGGACCGAACCGACUAAUGUUGAAAAAUUAGCGGAUGACUUGUGGCUGGGGGUGAAAGGCCAAUCAAACCGGGAGAUAGCUGGUUCUCCCCGAAAGCUAUUUAGGUAGCGCCUCGUGAAUUCAUCUCCGGGGGUAGAGCACUGUUUCGGCAAGGGGGUCAUCCCGACUUACCAACCCGAUGCAAACUGCGAAUACCGGAGAAUGUUAUCACGGGAGACACACGGCGGGUGCUAACGUCCGUCGUGAAGAGGGAAACAACCCAGACCGCCAGCUAAGGUCCCAAAGUCAUGGUUAAGUGGGAAACGAUGUGGGAAGGCCCAGACAGCCAGGAUGUUGGCUUAGAAGCAGCCAUCAUUUAAAGAAAGCGUAAUAGCUCACUGGUCGAGUCGGCCUGCGCGGAAGAUGUAACGGGGCUAAACCAUGCACCGAAGCUGCGGCAGCGACGCUUAUGCGUUGUUGGGUAGGGGAGCGUUCUGUAAGCCUGUGAAGGUGUGCUGUGAGGCAUGCUGGAGGUAUCAGAAGUGCGAAUGCUGACAUAAGUAACGAUAAAGCGGGUGAAAAGCCCGCUCGCCGGAAGACCAAGGGUUCCUGUCCAACGUUAAUCGGGGCAGGGUGAGUCGACCCCUAAGGCGAGGCCGAAAGGCGUAGUCGAUGGGAAACAGGUUAAUAUUCCUGUACUUGGUGUUACUGCGAAGGGGGGACGGAGAAGGCUAUGUUGGCCGGGCGACGGUUGUCCCGGUUUAAGCGUGUAGGCUGGUUUUCCAGGCAAAUCCGGAAAAUCAAGGCUGAGGCGUGAUGACGAGGCACUACGGUGCUGAAGCAACAAAUGCCCUGCUUCCAGGAAAAGCCUCUAAGCAUCAGGUAACAUCAAAUCGUACCCCAAACCGACACAGGUGGUCAGGUAGAGAAUACCAAGGCGCUUGAGAGAACUCGGGUGAAGGAACUAGGCAAAAUGGUGCCGUAACUUCGGGAGAAGGCACGCUGAUAUGUAGGUGAAGUCCCUCGCGGAUGGAGCUGAAAUCAGUCGAAGAUACCAGCUGGCUGCAACUGUUUAUUAAAAACACAGCACUGUGCAAACACGAAAGUGGACGUAUACGGUGUGACGCCUGCCCGGUGCCGGAAGGUUAAUUGAUGGGGUCAGCGCAAGCGAAGCUCUUGAUCGAAGCCCCGGUAAACGGCGGCCGUAACUAUAACGGUCCUAAGGUAGCGAAAUUCCUUGUCGGGUAAGUUCCGACCUGCACGAAUGGCGUAAUGAUGGCCAGGCUGUCUCCACCCGAGACUCAGUGAAAUUGAACUCGCUGUGAAGAUGCAGUGUACCCGCGGCAAGACGGAAAGACCCCGUGAACCUUUACUAUAGCUUGACACUGAACAUUGAGCCUUGAUGUGUAGGAUAGGUGGGAGGCUUUGAAGUGUGGACGCCAGUCUGCAUGGAGCCGACCUUGAAAUACCACCCUUUAAUGUUUGAUGUUCUAACGUUGACCCGUAAUCCGGGUUGCGGACAGUGUCUGGUGGGUAGUUUGACUGGGGCGGUCUCCUCCUAAAGAGUAACGGAGGAGCACGAAGGUUGGCUAAUCCUGGUCGGACAUCAGGAGGUUAGUGCAAUGGCAUAAGCCAGCUUGACUGCGAGCGUGACGGCGCGAGCAGGUGCGAAAGCAGGUCAUAGUGAUCCGGUGGUUCUGAAUGGAAGGGCCAUCGCUCAACGGAUAAAAGGUACUCCGGGGAUAACAGGCUGAUACCGCCCAAGAGUUCAUAUCGACGGCGGUGUUUGGCACCUCGAUGUCGGCUCAUCACAUCCUGGGGCUGAAGUAGGUCCCAAGGGUAUGGCUGUUCGCCAUUUAAAGUGGUACGCGAGCUGGGUUUAGAACGUCGUGAGACAGUUCGGUCCCUAUCUGCCGUGGGCGCUGGAGAACUGAGGGGGGCUGCUCCUAGUACGAGAGGACCGGAGUGGACGCAUCACUGGUGUUCGGGUUGUCAUGCCAAUGGCACUGCCCGGUAGCUAAAUGCGGAAGAGAUAAGUGCUGAAAGCAUCUAAGCACGAAACUUGCCCCGAGAUGAGUUCUCCCUGACCCUUUAAGGGUCCUGAAGGAACGUUGAAGACGACGACGUUGAUAGGCCGGGUGUGUAAGCGCAGCGAUGCGUUGAGCUAACCGGUACUAAUGAACCGUGAGGCUUAACCUUACAACGCCGAAGCUGUU